This 445-nucleotide ribosomal RNA is filed under the name uncultured bacterium. Its description in RNAcentral is "SSU rRNA". It matches the Rfam family "Bacterial small subunit ribosomal RNA", at positions 26 to 518 of the family's 1533-position model. The record is from RNAcentral.
AGAACGAACGCUGGCGGCAGGCCUCAAACAUGCAAGUCUAGGGGGUGUAGCAAUACAUCACCGGCGGACGGGUGCGUAACACGUGGGAAUAUACCUUUUGGUUCGGAACAAUGCAGGGAAACUUGCGCUAAUACCGAAUGUGCCCUUACGGGGAAAGAUUUAUCGCCAAAGGAUUAGCCCGCGUAGGAUUAGCUAGUUGGUGAGGUAAUGGCUCACUAAGGCUCCGAUCCUUAGCUGUUCUGAGAGGAAGAUCAGCCACACUGGGACUGAGACACGGCCCAGACUCCUACGGGAGGCAGCAGUUGGGAAUCUUGGACAAUGGGGGAAACCCUGAUCCAGCCAUGCCGCGUGAGUGAUGAAGGCCUUCGGGUUGUAAACUCUUUCGACGGGACGAUAAUGACGGUACCCGUAGAAGAGCUCCGGCUAACUUCGCGCCAGCAGCCGC